RNAcentral lists this long non-coding RNA (205 nucleotides) under Musa acuminata (dwarf banana). RNAcentral's name for it is "long non-coding RNA (MACU_LNC007355)". Lineage: Eukaryota; Viridiplantae; Streptophyta; Magnoliopsida; Zingiberales; Musaceae. The record is from RNAcentral.
UCGGGGAGGAGAAGGGAAGAAGACGAGAAGAAGAAGAAGAGGGAGAAGAGAAGAAAAGAAGAAGAAGAAGGAGAAGAGAGGGAUGAUGGAGAUGAGAGAGAGGUAGCUGCAGCACCUCUGUUUCCUGCAGGAGGAAACAAAGGAGAGGAGACGCUGUGCAUCGGGGAGGAGAAGGGAAGAAGAAGAGAAGCAGGGACGACGAGGA